Molecule: long non-coding RNA, 495 nt
Organism: Scylla paramamosain (green mud crab)
Lineage: Eukaryota; Metazoa; Arthropoda; Malacostraca; Decapoda; Portunidae
Exons: 4
Source: RefSeq, a predicted model, not a curated record
AGAUUACAAGACAAGCACACAAGAUUAAUAGAUGAAAGAAAAGGAGGGAGACGAGGAGGAAGAAGAAGAAUAAGAGGAGGAGGAGGAGGAGGAGGAGGAGGAGAAGAGGUGCUCUGUGAAGACCAAACAGCAUUUCACAGCUCUUCCUGACUACCCAAAGCACAUCAAACUGGACAAGCACAGUUUUGAAGAAGAGGAGGAGGAAGAGGAAGAGGAAGGAGGAGGAGGAGGAGGAGGAGGGUUAGGUGUGGCCCUCCCUCCCCCUCCCACACCACUGCAGUCCCAGCCUCUGAUUGGCCAGCCCUCAGCCAAUCAGGAGAGAGACUUUAUGGCCUUGCAGGUGGAGGAAGGCCGAAGGGAACUGGAGGAGGAGAGAAAGAGGCACAGGCUGGAGGUUGAAAACAAAAGGUCUAGAUUUAGAAUGAUGACAACGACCACAGCCACCACCAGCACCUCCCCCACUAGUCUGCCUUUCUCUUCAAGUCCCAGCGAGGA